Molecule: small nucleolar RNA, 94 nt
Filed under: Punctularia strigosozonata HHB-11173 SS5
Lineage: Eukaryota; Fungi; Basidiomycota; Agaricomycetes; Corticiales; Punctulariaceae
Source: RNAcentral
UUUCCAUGAUGAUCCCAUAUCAGUUCUGCUUCCGAAAAGCGAGAGCAUAUCUCCUUGUGGACAACCUUUAUACCAAAAACUAUCAUUCUGAUCC